Dreissena polymorpha is the source of this 512-nucleotide long non-coding RNA. RefSeq lists it as uncharacterized. Lineage: Eukaryota; Metazoa; Mollusca; Bivalvia; Myida; Dreissenidae. The record is from RefSeq and is a predicted model, not a curated record. The transcript has 2 exons.
AACUUUGAAAUUAUUAGUUCAAAAAGAAAUAUAAUUUAAGUUAAUAUUGUGCAUGAAAUUUGUGAACAGUUUUCUCUUAAGAAAAAAUGAAGGCGAAUGUGUUCAUAUAACAAGUAAUGCUUAAUGAAAAAAUCAAGAAUGUACUUAGGCAAAUGCCUCGCAACAAGAGAGGUUCUUUUGUGCAUUAUAAAUGGUCCUAAUUAUACCUCCGGUAUGAGUAUAAUGAUAAAGUUUACCUCUACCAAAUGUGUGAAAUGAAUGUUAAUUUAUUUAGUGCAAUACAACUUUAUUUCUAACAUGGUAAUUGUCUGUGGACGUUAUUGUACUAGAUAUGAUGACAAUUAUUAUUCUGUGAUUACAAACUAAUUCAUUAUUCAGUCCACAUGCCCAGUGAGCUAGCGAUCCACAUGCCCAGGGAGCUAGCGAUCCACAUGCCCAGGGAGCUAGCGAUCCACAUGCCCAGGGAGCUAGCGAUCCACAUGCCCAGGGAGCUAGCGAUCCACAUGCCCAGG